This 254-nucleotide ribosomal RNA is filed under the name uncultured bacterium. RNAcentral's name for it is "partial 16S ribosomal RNA". It matches the Rfam family "Bacterial small subunit ribosomal RNA", at positions 524 to 776 of the family's 1533-position model. The record is from RNAcentral.
UACGGAAGGGGGCUAGCGUUGCUCGGAAUCACUGGGCGUAAAGGGUGCGUAGGCGGGUCUUUAAGUCAGGGGUGAAAUCCUGGAGCUCAACUCCAGAACUGCCUUUGAUACUGAAGAUCUUGAGUUCGGGAGAGGUGAGUGGAACUGCGAGUGUAGAGGUGAAAUUCGUAGAUAUUCGCAAGAACACCAGUGGCGAAGGCGGCUCACUGGCCCGAUACUGACGCUGAGGCACGAAAGCGUGGGGAGCAAACAGG